CUAGCUGUAAACGAUGGAUACUAGGCGUUGAGAGUAUCGACCCUCUCAGUGUCGUAGCUAACGCGUUAAGUAUCCCGCCUGGGGAGUACGCGCGCAAGCGUGAAACUCAAAGGAAUUGACGGGGGCCCGCACAAGCGGUGGAGUAUGUGGUUUAAUUCGAUGCAACGCGAAGAACCUUACCAGGGCUUGACAUGUCCGGAACCCUGCCCAAAGGCGGGGGUGCCUACGGGAACCGGAACACAGGUGGUGC
Molecule: ribosomal RNA, 250 nt
Filed under: uncultured Chroococcidiopsis sp.
Lineage: Bacteria; Bacillati; Cyanobacteriota; Cyanophyceae; Chroococcidiopsidales; Chroococcidiopsidaceae
Description: partial 16S ribosomal RNA
Rfam family: Bacterial small subunit ribosomal RNA
Source: RNAcentral